This 1124-nucleotide ribosomal RNA is filed under the name uncultured bacterium. RNAcentral describes it as "bacterial SSU rRNA". It matches the Rfam family "Bacterial small subunit ribosomal RNA", at positions 371 to 1533 of the family's 1533-position model. The record is from RNAcentral.
AUGCGCGAAAGCGUGACGGGGGAACCCCAAGUGCCGUUGGUCUUUUGAUCGACGGCUUUUCGGAAGUCUAGGUAAGCUUCCGGAAUAAGGGCUGGGCAAGUCUGGUGCCAGCCGCCGCGGUAAUACCAGCAGCUCAAGUGGAAGGCUCAGUAACACGUAGGGGGCCAGCGUUGUCCGGAAUUACUGGGCGUAAAGCGCGCGCAGGCGGCCUCGUAAGCAGCGGGUGAAAUCCCGGGGCUCAACUCCGGAACUGCUCGCUGAACUGCGGGGCUCGAGUCCGGGAGAGGGCAGCGGAAUUCCUGGUGUAGCGGUGGAAUGCGUAAAUAUCAGGAAGAACACCUGUGGCGAAGGCUGCUGCCUGGAACGCGACUGACGCUGAGGUCGCGAAAGCUAGGGGAGCGAACGGGAUUAGAUACCCCGGUAGUCCUAGCCGUAAACGAUGGGCACUAGGUGUUGGGAGCAUCGACCCUCCCAGUGCUGGUUUGCUAACGUCGUUAAGUGUCCCCGUCCUGGGGAGUACGGCCGCAAGGUUGAAACUCAAAGGAAUUGACGGGGGCCCGCACAAGCGGUGGAGCAUGCGGGUUAAUGGGAUGAUACGCCAAGAACCUUACCAGGGCUUGACAUGUCGGUGGUAGCGACCUGAAAGGGAAGCCACCCGGGCAACCGGGAGCCGGCACAGAUGGUGCAUGGUUGUCGUCAGCUCGUGCCGUGAGGUGUUGGGUUAAGUCCCGCAACGAGCGCAACCCUCGCCAGAUGUUGCCAUCGGGGUCUUCGGACCGCCGGGCACUCUUCUGGGACUGCCUGAGUAAUCAGGAGGAAGGAGAGGAUGACGUCAAAUCUGCAUGCCUCUUACGCCCUGGGCUGCACGUCGUGCUACAAUGGCGGGUACAAAGGGUUGCUAAGCCGCGAGGUGGAGCCAAUCCCCCAAAACCCGUCCCAGUUCGGAUCGGAUGUCUGCAACUCGACUCCGUGAAGGCGGAAUCGUCUAGUAACCGUGGAUCAGUCAAGUCCACGUGUGUAAUAGUUUCCCGUUGUCCUGUUACACACGCUCCGUUCAGAUUCAGCUAAGAUGGUUCGAGUCUCCGCUGAAUACCAGCUUGCUGUUUGCCUGAAGUCUGUAUUGC